Molecule: transfer RNA, 65 nt
Filed under: Monochamus alternatus (Japanese pine sawyer)
Lineage: Eukaryota; Metazoa; Arthropoda; Insecta; Coleoptera; Cerambycidae
Also listed under: 1 other name
Description: tRNA-Ala
Source: RNAcentral
AGGAUAAUAGUUAACUAUAACAUUUAACUUGCACUUAAAAAGUAUUGAUUUUUCAAUUUAUCUUA